UACGGAGGGGGCUAGCGUUGUUCGGAAUUACUGGGCGUAAAGCGCACGUAGGCGGUCUUUUAAGUCAGAGGUGAAAGCCCGGGGCUCAACUCCGGAAUUGCCUUUGAAACUGGGAGACUUGAACACGGGAGAGGUGAGUGGAAUUCCGAGUGUAGAGGUGAAAUUCGUAGAUAUUCGGAGGAACACCAGUGGCGAAGGCGGCUCACUGGACCGUUGUUGACGCUGAGGUGCGAAAGCGUGGGGAGCAAAC
RNAcentral lists this ribosomal RNA (250 nucleotides) under uncultured bacterium. Its description in RNAcentral is "partial 16S ribosomal RNA". It matches the Rfam family "Bacterial small subunit ribosomal RNA", at positions 524 to 773 of the family's 1533-position model. The record is from RNAcentral.